RNAcentral lists this ribosomal RNA (423 nucleotides) under uncultured bacterium. RNAcentral's name for it is "bacterial SSU rRNA". It matches the Rfam family "Bacterial small subunit ribosomal RNA", at positions 207 to 622 of the family's 1533-position model. The record is from RNAcentral.
AAGACCUUGCGCUUUUGGAGCGGCCGAUGCCUGAUUAGCUUGUUGGUAAGGUAAAAGCUUACCAAGGCUUCGAUCAGUAGCUGGUCUGAGAGGACGGCCAGCCACACUGGGACUGAGACACGGCCCAGACUCCUACGGGAGGCAGCAGUGGGGAAUUUUGGACAAUGGGGGCAACCCUGAUCCAGCCAUGCCGCGUGAGUGAAGAAGGCCUUCGGGUUGUAAAGCUCUUUCAGCCGGAACGAAACGGUUACGGUUAAUACCCGUGACUACUGACGGUACCGGAAGAAGAAGCACCGGCUAACUACGUGCCAGCAGCCGCGGUAAUACGUAGGGUGCGAGCGUUAAUCGGAAUUACUGGGCGUAAAGCGUGCGCAGGCGGUUUUGUAAGUCAGAUGUGAAAUCCCCGAGCUCAACUUGGGAACU